RNAcentral lists this ribosomal RNA (947 nucleotides) under uncultured bacterium. RNAcentral's name for it is "bacterial SSU rRNA". It matches the Rfam family "Bacterial small subunit ribosomal RNA", at positions 523 to 1482 of the family's 1533-position model. The record is from RNAcentral.
AUACGGAGGAUGCGAGCGUUAUCCGGAUUUAUUGGGUUUAAAGGGUGCGUAGGUGGUGAUUUAAGUCAGCGGUGAAAGUUUGUGGCUCAACCAUAAAAUUGCCGUUGAAACUGGGUUACUUGAGUGUGUUUGAGGUAGGCGGAAUGCGUGGUGUAGCGGUGAAAUGCAUAGAUAUCACGCAGAACUCCGAUUGCGAAGGCAGCUUACUAAACCAUAACUGACACUGAAGCACGAAAGCGUGGGGAUCAAACAGGAUUAGAUACCCUGGUAGUCCACGCAGUAAACGAUGAUUACUAGGAGUUUGCGAUACAAUGUAAGCUCUACAGCGAAAGCGUUAAGUAAUCCACCUGGGGAGUACGCCGGCAACGGUGAAACUCAAAGGAAUUGACGGGGGCCCGCACAAGCGGAGGAACAUGUGGUUUAAUUCGAUGAUACGCGAGGAACCUUACCCGGGUUUGAACGUAGUCUAACCGGAGUGGAAACACUCUUUCUAGCAAUAGCAGAUUACGAGGUGCUGCAUGGUUGUCGUCAGCUCGUGCCGUGAGGUGUCGGCUUAAGUGCCAUAACGAGCGCAACCCUUAUCACUAGUUACUAACAGGUGAAGCUGAGGACUCUGGUGAGACUGCCAGCGUAAGCUGUGAGGAAGGUGGGGAUGACGUCAAAUCAGCACGGCCCUUACAUCCGGGGCGACACACGUGUUACAAUGGCAUGGACAAAGGGCAGCUACCUGGUGACAGGAUGCUAAUCUCCAAACCAUGUCUCAGUUCGGAUCGGAGUCUGCAACUCGACUCCGUGAAGCUGGAUUCGCUAGUAAUCGCGCAUCAGCCAUGGCGCGGUGAAUACGUUCCCGGGCCUUGUACACACCGCCCGUCAAGCCAUGGGAGCCGGGGGUACCUGAAGUCCGUAACCGCAAGGAUCGGCCUAGGGUAAAACUGGUGACUGGGGCU